AAUCCUGGCUCAGGAUGAACGCUAGCUACAGGCUUAACACAUGCAAGUCGAGGGGCAGCGGGGAUUGAAGCUUGCUUCAAUUGCCGGCGACCGGCGCACGGGUGAGUAACGCGUAUCCAACCUUCCGCAUACUCGGGGAUAGCCUUCUGAAAAGGAGAUUAAUACCCGAUGGUAUCAAGAGAUUGCAUGAUAACUUGAUUAAAGAAUUUCGGUAUGCGAUGGGGAUGCGUUCCAUUAGG
This 239-nucleotide ribosomal RNA is filed under the name uncultured bacterium. RNAcentral's name for it is "partial 16S ribosomal RNA". It matches the Rfam family "Bacterial small subunit ribosomal RNA", at positions 15 to 245 of the family's 1533-position model. The record is from RNAcentral.